RNAcentral lists this ribosomal RNA (255 nucleotides) under uncultured bacterium. Its description in RNAcentral is "partial 16S ribosomal RNA". It matches the Rfam family "Bacterial small subunit ribosomal RNA", at positions 524 to 776 of the family's 1533-position model. The record is from RNAcentral.
UACGGGGGGAGCAAGCGUUGUUCGGAUUUACUGGGCGUAAAGGGCGCGUAGGCGGCCACCGCAAGUCAGUGGUGAAAGCUCUGGGCUUAACCCAGAAAGGUCAGCUGAUACUGCGGGGCUAGAGUGCAGAAGGGGCAACUGGAAUUCUCGGUGUGGCGGUGAAAUGCGUAGAUAUCGAGAGGAACACCUGCGGCGAAGGCGGGUUGCUGGGCUGACACUGACGCUGACAGCGCGAAAGCUAGGGGAGCGAACGGG